Molecule: ribosomal RNA, 253 nt
Filed under: uncultured bacterium
Lineage: Bacteria
Description: partial 16S ribosomal RNA
Rfam family: Bacterial small subunit ribosomal RNA
Source: RNAcentral
UACGUAGGUGGCGAGCGUUGUCCGGAUUUACUGGGUGUAAAGGGCGUGUAGGCGGGAAGACAAGUCAGAUGUGAAAUACCGUGGCUUAACCACGGGGCUGCAUCUGAAACUGUUUUUCUUGAGUGUCGGAGAGGAAAGUGGAAUUCCCAGUGUAGCGGUGAAAUGCGUAGAUAUUGGGAGGAACACCAGUGGCGAAGGCGACUUUCUGGACGAUAACUGACGCUGAGGCGCGAAAGCGUGGGGAGCAAACAGG